Molecule: ribosomal RNA, 471 nt
Filed under: uncultured bacterium
Lineage: Bacteria
Description: bacterial SSU rRNA
Rfam family: Bacterial small subunit ribosomal RNA
Source: RNAcentral
CUGGCUCAGGAUUAACGCUGGCGGCGUGCCUAAUACAUGCAAGUCGAAUGGUAGCAAUACCAUGGCGAACGGGUGAGUAACACGUAGGUAACCUGUCUUUAAGUCGAGGAUAACCAUUGGAAACGAUGGAUAAUACUGGAUAGGACAUUUGAAGGCAUCUUUAGAUGUUUAAAGAUUUAUCACUUAGAGAGGGGCCUGCGGCGCAUUAGCUAGUUGGUGAGGUGAAGGCUUACCAAGGCGAUGAUGCGUAGCCGGACUGAGAGGUUGAACGGCCACAAUGGAACUGAGAACGGUCCAUACUCCUACGGGAGGCAGCAGUAGGGAAUUUUCGGCAAUGGGCGGAAGCCUGACCGAGCAACGCCGCGUGAACGAAGAAGUAUUUCGGUAUGUAAAGUUCUUUUAUUAGGGACGAAAAGACAGAUUGACGGUACCUAAUGAAUAAGCUCCGGCUAACUACGUGCCAGCCGCUGC